AAUCGUAACAAGGUCUCCGUAGGUGAACCUGCGGAGGGAUCAUUACACAAAUAUGAAGGCGGGCUGGAACCUCUCGGGGUUACAGCCUUGCUGAAUUAUUCACCCUUGUCUUUUGCGUACUUCUUGUUUCCUUGGUGGGUUCGCCCACCACUAGGACAAACAUAAACCUUUUGUAAUUGCAAUCAGCGUCAGUAACAAAUUAAUAAUUACAACUUUCAACAACGGAUCUCUUGGUUCUGGCAUCGAUGAAGAACGCAGCGAAAUGCGAUAAGUAGUGUGAAUUGCAGAAUUCAGUGAAUCAUCGAAUCUUUGAACGCACAUUGCGCCCUUUGGUAUUCCAAAGGGCAUGCCUGUUCGAGCGUCAUUUGUACCCUCAAGCUUUGCUUGGUGUUGGGCGUCUUGUCUCUAGCUUUGCUGGAGACUCGCCUUAAAGUAAUUGGCAGCCGGCCUACUGGUUUCGGAGCACAGCACAAGUCGCACUCUCUAUCAGCAAAGGUCUAGCAUCCAUUAAGCCUUUUUUUCAACUUUUGACCUCGGAUCAGGUAGGGAUACCCGCUGAACUUAAGCAUAUCAAUAAGUAAAAAUCG
Molecule: ribosomal RNA, 587 nt
Filed under: uncultured fungus
Lineage: Eukaryota; Fungi
Description: eukaryotic LSU rRNA
Rfam family: 5.8S ribosomal RNA (bases 211-364)
Source: RNAcentral